CACAAGGGGUGAAGCCUGCGGUUCAAUUGGAGUCAACGCCAGAAAUCUUACCCGGAGAGACAGCAGAAUGAAGGUCAAGCUGAAGACUUUACCAGACAAGCUGAGAGGUGGUGCAUGGCCGUCGCCAGCUCGUGCCGUGAGAUGUCCUGUUAAGUCAGGUAACGAGCGAGAUCCCUGCCUCUAGUUGCCACCAUUACUCUCAGGAGUAGUGGGGCGAAUUAGCGGGACCGCCGCAGUUAAUGCGGAGGAAGGAAGGGGCCACGGCAGGUCAGUAUGCCCCGAAACUCUGGGGCCACACGCGGGCUGCAAUGGUAGCGACAAUUGGUUUCGAAUCCGAAAGGAUGAGGUAAUCCACAAACGCUACCACAGUUAUGACUGAGGGCUGCAACUCGCCCUCACGAAUAUGGAAUCCCUAGUAACUGCGUGUCAUUAUCGCGCGGUGAAUACGUCCCUGCUCCUUGCACACACCGCCCGUCGUUUCAUUGAAGUGAGCUUUUAGCGAGGUGACGUCUAAUUGGCGUUAUCGAACUUGAGGUUCGUGACAAGGGAAAAGUCGUAACAAGGUGACCGUAGGGGAACCUGCGGUCGGAUCACCUCCUU
Molecule: ribosomal RNA, 600 nt
Filed under: uncultured marine crenarchaeote
Lineage: Archaea; Thermoproteati; Thermoproteota
Description: bacterial SSU rRNA
Rfam family: Archaeal small subunit ribosomal RNA
Source: RNAcentral